CAAUAAUAGAGACAUUCAUUCACAAUUCUCAUCUAUCAUAUACUAUAUAAUAUUAUCGGUAGCAGGGAGGCUUUCGUGCUACUAAAUUAUUUUCAAUGAUAGGACAUUCGAAUCGACAAUCGGCUUCAUUAGAUAUGAUCUGCCCAAUCAGAAGUAUCUAGAAACCAAAUUUUAUUUUUUUUCUGCAUCAUUUGGCUAGUGAUCAAAAUGUGUCAAAAUUGACGAUUUGAAUGACUAAUGCGAUACAUUUGUAACUUCAAUGGUAUAAAAGAAUCCAAAUUUAGUAAAAUUUGGAUCGAAUUUUUUUUUUUUUUUACUACUUACAUCAAGAUCAAUAACUUUGACUUGAAAUUUAAGUCUGUUAUCAUUAUUUUUUAUGAGAUUUUUCUUUUGCAAUCGUUCAUUUUGAAGCUAUUUGUUUUAAAGAUAAAUGAUGUGGAAAAUUCAUGAAAAUUAGUUGCUAGAUGCUUCUAAUAAUAUAGAUUAUGUCUAAUAGAAUCAAUCGUCGAUUCAAAUGUCUAAUCAUAAAAAAUAAUUUGAAGCACGAAGUAUAUCGAUAGUACUCCAGACUAUAUAUGUGUGCGUGUGUGUGUAGAGCUCCUAUGUUAUCGAAAGUAUAGAGAAUUUAAUAUUUUCAACUUUUU
RNAcentral lists this long non-coding RNA (644 nucleotides) under Ananas comosus (pineapple). RNAcentral describes it as "long non-coding RNA (ACOM_LNC007791)". Lineage: Eukaryota; Viridiplantae; Streptophyta; Magnoliopsida; Poales; Bromeliaceae. The record is from RNAcentral.